This 833-nucleotide ribosomal RNA is filed under the name bacterium enrichment culture clone IsoM-10. RNAcentral describes it as "bacterial SSU rRNA". It matches the Rfam family "Bacterial small subunit ribosomal RNA", at positions 8 to 818 of the family's 1533-position model. The record is from RNAcentral.
AGAGUUUGAUCAUGGCUCAGAACGAACGCUGGCGGCGUGCCUAACACAUGCAAGUCGAACGGGGAUAGAUAGCUUGCUAUUUAUUCUAGUGGCGCACGGGUGAGUAACGCGUAGAUAAUCUGCCUUGGACUCUGGGAUAACAUUUCGAAAGGGGUGCUAAUACCGGAUAAGCCCACGGGGACGUAAGUUCUUGCGGGAAAAGGGGGCCUCUGCAUAUGCUCUUGAUCCAAGAUGAGUCUGCGUACCAUUUGCUAGUUGGUAGGGUAAGAGCCUACCAAGGCGACGAUGGUUAGCUGGUCUGAGAGGAUGAUCAGCCACACUGGAACUGAGACACGGUCCAGACUCCUACGGGAGGCAGCAGUGGGGAAUUUUGCGCAAUGGGGGAAACCCUGACGCAGCAACGCCGCGUGAGUGAUGAAGGCUUUCGGGUCGUAAAGCUCUGUCUAGAGGGAAGAAAUGAUAUUGGGUUAAUACCCUGAUUUCUUGACGGUACCUCUGAAGGAAGCACCGGCUAACUCCGUGCCAGCAGCCGCGGUAAUACGGAGGGUGCAAGCGUUGUUCGGAAUUAUUGGGCGUAAAGCGCGUGUAGGCGGUUUGUUAAGUCUGAUGUGAAAGCCCCGGGCUCAACCUGGGAAGUGCAUUGGAAACUGUCAGACUUGAAUACGGGAGAGGGUAGUGGAAUUCCUAGUGUAGGAGUGAAAUCCGUAGAUAUUAGGAGGAACACCGGUGGCGAAGGCGGCCACCUGGACCGAUAUUGACGCUGAGACGCGAAAGCGUGGGUAGCAAACAGGAUUAGAUACCCUGGUAGUCCACGCCGUAGACGAUGAGUACUA